GGUGGAAUAUUGGACAAUGGGCGGAAGCCUGAUCCAGCAACGCCGCGUGAGGGAUGACGGCCUUCGGGUUGUAAACCUCUUUCAGUACCGACGAAGCGCCCGUUGUGGGUGGUGACGGUAGGUACAGAAGAAGCACCGGCCAACUACGUGCCAGCAGCCGCGGUAAUACGUAGGGUGCGAGCGUUGUCCGGAAUUAUUGGGCGUAAAGGGCUCGUAGGCGGUUUGUCGCGUCGGGAGUGAAAACACCGGG
This 250-nucleotide ribosomal RNA is filed under the name uncultured bacterium. RNAcentral describes it as "partial 16S ribosomal RNA". It matches the Rfam family "Bacterial small subunit ribosomal RNA", at positions 355 to 607 of the family's 1533-position model. The record is from RNAcentral.